Molecule: ribosomal RNA, 253 nt
Filed under: uncultured bacterium
Lineage: Bacteria
Description: partial 16S ribosomal RNA
Rfam family: Bacterial small subunit ribosomal RNA
Source: RNAcentral
UACGUAGGGUGCAAGCGUUGUCCGGAAUUAUUGGGCGUAAAGAGCUCGUAGGCGGUUUGUUGCGUCGGCUGUGAAAUCCCGAGGCUCAACCUCGGGUCUGCAGUCGAUACGAGCAAACUAGAGUGUUGCAGGGGAGACUGGAAUUCCUGGUGUAGCGGUGAAAUGCGCAGGUAUCAGGAGGAACACCGGUGGCGAAGGCGGGUCUCUGGGCAACAACUGACGCUGAGGAGCGAAAGCGUGGGGAGCGAACAGG